This is a non-coding RNA of Myotis davidii, 74 nucleotides long. NCBI's taxonomy places the organism in Eukaryota, Metazoa, Chordata, Mammalia, Chiroptera, Vespertilionidae. The record is from Rfam.
GGCCAGGUGGCUCAGUUGGUUAGAGCAUUGUCCCUUACAACAAAAGGUUACAGGUUCGAUUCCUGGUCAGGGCA